GACACUGGGGUCUACUUGACGGUGAAGGAUGGAAGGAAGGAGAGGAUCAGAAACUACCUUUGGGGUACUAGGCUUAUUACCUGGGUGAUGAAAUAAUCUGUACACCCCCAUGACACAAAAUUUACCUGUAUAACAAACCUGAACAUGUACCCUUGAACCUAAAAUAAAAGUUAAAUAAAAAAUUUAAAUAAAUACAAACAGAACAAAACCAGAUAAUUCCAGAACUUUUUUAUUGUACACAAAAAUCUAAAUUUCUUAACAUGGAAACCAAAGGUCUACAAAAUGUACUCUCCUAGCUUAGGAUCAUUAUUUAUUCCUCUUAUUUUUGGAAUCUAUUCUUUUAUUCAAGGACCAGCUCAAAGGUCAGCUUUUAGUUAACUCUUAUAUCCCCAUACACACAUACCCUAAAGGCAGAGUUAACUGCUGUAUCCAAGCUACUUCUUGGCAUAUCCUUGUCAGCCUAAAUAACAGAGAGGCAGACUCUCUGAAAGAAAAUGAUGUUUAUUCAGGAAUGGCAUUGCAAUGAGAAUACAAGUGCCACAGUAAACUAUGUGCAUAUUCAGGGAGGUAAAGGAAGACAAUGGUUUUUAAAGCAAAAAUGAUUGUUUUGAGAGAAUUAUCCUUGGCUACAAGGAUCAAUAACAAGGAUGUUGCCUUUUGGACAUUGGACAGGCAGUUGCUGGGCAAAUGUCCUCAUAGAAGUACUUUUUGUGUGUCAGGUUGUGAUGGCCUUUGUGCAAGGUGUGGUUUUGUGCAGUCUUUUAUGAUAAUCCUCAUUCUCAGGCAUCUGUGCAUGAAAAUCCUCCUUUCAUGGCCUUCCCCAGCUCUAUUUGUUAGGAUUUUUAACACAAUGACUACAACUUGAUUUUGACAACUUUCACAUCCUGUUAGUGGGCUCACACUAUUAGUUGCUCAUCUCAAAAGAUGGAGUUCUUUAGGGGCAGGAACCUGCAACUCACCUUGUGCUCCUCAGAGUACAUGGCCCAAUAUCCCAAGGCCCUUAACACGCUUGUCAUUAUUUCAGAUUUAUACUAUGUGGUGUGUUAAUUACUGCACCCAAUGAAACUUGCUGUCCAGCAGCUCACUCUGUUCCUAGGGUUCAUGUUAUGCAACAUAAAGUAAACAGCAUCACAGAUGAAGUUAUCUUAUUUUUUUAAAAAAUCUAAUCAAACUGCUUGACCUAACCUCCAGUCUACAGGAAAUUUAGGAGAUUGAGGAACAAAUUACGUGAUGUCAUUAGGAAAAUGUCAGACAAUUCAAAAAUGUAGGUGAGACACUCUAAAGCAAAACUAGCUUGGACUCUUCACAAAAUUGUCAUGGGAAAUUAGUUGGUACCACCAAGUCUGGAAAACAGCUUGGCAAUUUCUUUAAAAACUAAAUAUGUAACUACAUACAACCCAUCAAUUUCACUCCUGGGCAUUUAUCUCAGAGAAAUGAAAACUUAAUGUUCACACAAAAACUUGUACAUGAAUGUUCACAGCAGCAUUAUUCAGACUGGAAUGAGCCCAGAUAUCCUUCAAUAAGUCAACGAGUUAAACCAAACAGUAAAAGGAAAUGAACUAUUGAUACACACAACAGCUGAGAUGACUCAGAAAAAAAGAGAUGAACAGAAAGUCAAUCCCAUAAAAUUACAUACUGUAUGAUUCAAUUUAUAACAUUAUUGAAAUGACAGAGUUUUAGAAACUGAGCUUUUUGUACCUGGCCAAGGGCUUUGAUCAGCAAGGUGCCCCUGUGCUGUCUACCCAGGGCAGUGCCUCACCAGAUUGGCAAUAAAAGUAUUUUAAGUCAGUGAGUAAUGAGAAAC
This is a long non-coding RNA of Piliocolobus tephrosceles (Ugandan red Colobus), 1804 nucleotides long. NCBI's taxonomy places the organism in Eukaryota, Metazoa, Chordata, Mammalia, Primates, Cercopithecidae. The record is from Ensembl.